RNAcentral lists this ribosomal RNA (773 nucleotides) under uncultured Neocallimastigales. Its description in RNAcentral is "partial large subunit ribosomal RNA". It matches the Rfam family "Eukaryotic large subunit ribosomal RNA", at positions 24 to 616 of the family's 3401-position model. Lineage: Eukaryota; Fungi; Neocallimastigomycota; Neocallimastigomycetes; Neocallimastigales. The record is from RNAcentral.
UAUGUGAUCGUCUCUCGCAUAUCAAUAAGCGGAGGAAAAGAAACUAACAAGGAUUCCCCUAGUAACGGCGAGUGAAGCGGGAAGAGCUCAAAUUUGAAAUCUUAAAGGGUUCCCUUUACGAAUUGUAGUUUAAAGAAGUGUUUUCUGUUGAGGUUUUGGUAAAAGUUCUUUGGAAUAGGACAUCAUAGAGGGUGAGAAUCCCGUAUUUGACCUUUACUUUCAACUUUGUGAUACACUUUCAAAGAGUCGGAUUGUUUGGGAAUGCAGUCCAAAAUGGGUGGUAAAUUUCACCUAAAGCUAAAUAUUGGCGAGAGACCGAUAGCGAACAAGUACCGUGAGGGAAGGAUGAAAAGAACUUUGAAAAGAGAGUUAAACAGUACGUGAAAUUGUCAACAGGGAAGCGUUUGACACCAGUGUUGUUUUUCUGAAAAUCAAUUAAAGAACUGUUUAUGCUAAGUUGUUUAGACUUUAUCAGCUAUCUGCUUAGUUUUGAGCUUUUCUUUAAUGCACUUUUCAGUUAACAAGUCAACAUCAAUUUCUUUUGCUGUAAAAAAGCUUGAGGAAGGUGGCUUGAGAUUCGUCUUAAGUGUUUAUAGCCUCUUGCCUAUGCAGUCGGAGAGAUUGAGGUUUGCAGCGUAGAUCCUUCGGGGCUAAAUGCAUUUGUGCUAAGUUAUAGCAUUUUAUAGACAACUUGUUGACUAUGAUUUGUCUUGUAGCUUACUCGCUUAUGUUAUUUUACCUACGCUUAGGAUGUUGAGCGCAUGUCUCUCUCU